AGCGGCGCACGGGUGCGUAACGCGUAUGUACCUACCCUAUACAGGGGGAUAGCCCGGAGAAAUCUGGAUUAAUACCCCAUGGCUCAGCAUUGAUAAAGAUUUAUCGGUAUAGGAUGGACAUGCGUCUGAUUAGCUAGUUGGGGGUGUAACGGACCACCAAGGCGACGAUCAGUAGGGGUUCUGAGAGGAAGGUCCCCCACACUGGCACUGAGAUACGGGCCAGACUCCUACGGGGGGCAGCAGUAGGGAAUAUUGGGCAAUGGACGAGAGUCUGACCCAGCCAUGCCGCGUGCAGGAAGAAGGCGUUCGCGUUGUAAACUGCUUUUAUCUGGGAAGAAAAGGCCCAUGCGUGGGACAUUGCCGGUACCAGAUGAAUAAGCACCGGCUAACUCCGUGCCAGCAGCCGCGGUAAUACGGAGGGUGCAAGCGUUGUCCGGAUUUAUUGGGUUUAAAGGGUGCGUAGGCGGCUGAUUAAGUCAGUGGUGAAAGUUUUGGGCUCAACCCAGAAAUUGCCAUUGAUACUGGUCGGCUUGAGUAUUGCACGGGUACAUGGAAUUGAUGGUGUAGCGGUGAAAUGCAUAGAUACCAUCAGAACACCGAUAGCGAUGCAUUGUACUGGGCAGCACUGACGCUGAUGCACGAAAGCAUGGGGAGCCGACCAGAAUAGAUACCUGGCUAGUCCAUGCCGA
This 689-nucleotide ribosomal RNA is filed under the name uncultured bacterium. RNAcentral describes it as "bacterial SSU rRNA". It matches the Rfam family "Bacterial small subunit ribosomal RNA", at positions 94 to 803 of the family's 1533-position model. The record is from RNAcentral.